RNAcentral lists this unclassified non-coding RNA (340 nucleotides) under soil metagenome. RNAcentral's name for it is "partial contains 5.8S ribosomal RNA, internal transcribed spacer 2, and large subunit ribosomal RNA". The stretch from base 1 to 120 matches the Rfam family "5.8S ribosomal RNA", at positions 35 to 154 of the family's 154-position model. The record is from RNAcentral.
GAUGAAGAACGUAGCGAAAUGCGAUAAGUAAUGUGAAUUGCAGAGUUCAGUGAAUCAUCGAAUCUUUGAACGCACAUUGCGCCCGUCAGUAUUCUGACGGGCAUGCCUGUCCGAGCGUCAUUUCAACCCUCAAGCACUGCUUGGCGUUGGAGGAUUGCGUGCCCUCGCGGCGCUGCAACCGCCCAAAUACAGUGGCGGUCCCGCUGCGGCUCCCUUUGCGUAGUAACUCACCUCGCACUGGACCGGGCGGCGGCCUGCCGUAAAACCCCAACUCACGAAAUGUUGACCUCGGAUCAGGUAGGAAUACCCGCUGAACUUAAGCAUAUCAAUAAGCGGAGGA